Molecule: ribosomal RNA, 254 nt
Filed under: uncultured bacterium
Lineage: Bacteria
Description: partial 16S ribosomal RNA
Rfam family: Bacterial small subunit ribosomal RNA
Source: RNAcentral
UACAGAGGGUGCGAGCGUUGUCCGGAAUCACCGGGCGUAAAGGGCGCGUAGGUGGUGGCUUAAGCGUGCGGUGAAAGCUCGGGGCUCAACUCCGAGUCGGCCGUGCGAACUGGGCUCACUGGAGCAUAGUAGAGGCAGGUGGAAUUCCGGGUGUAGCGGUGGAAUGCGUAGAGAUCCGGAAGAACACCGGUGGCGAAGGCGGCCUGCUGGGCUAUGGCUGACACUGAGGCGCGACAGCGUGGGGAGCAAACAGG